Molecule: microRNA precursor, 183 nt
Filed under: Sorghum bicolor (sorghum)
Lineage: Eukaryota; Viridiplantae; Streptophyta; Magnoliopsida; Poales; Poaceae
Description: MIR1435 microRNA precursor family
Rfam family: MIR1435 microRNA precursor family
Source: Rfam by way of RNAcentral
CAGCUUUGUCCUAAGUCAAACUUGUCUAGCUUUGACUAAGUUUAUAGAAAAGUACAUUAACAUCUGUGAUAUCAAACUAUAUAUCACGGUGUAUCUAAUGAAUCUAGUUUGAUGUUGUAGAUGUUUAUGCAUUUUUCUAUAAACUUAGUCAAGCUAGAGAAGUUUAACUUAGGACAAAGCUAC